GACGAACGCUGGCGGCGUGCUUAACACAUGCAAGUCGAACGCUGAAGCUUGGUGCUUGCACUGGGUGGAUGAGUGGCGAACGGGUGAGUAAUACGUGAGUAACCUGCCUUUGACUCUGGGAUAAGUCCGGGAAACUGGGUCUAAUACUGGAUACGACAUGUCACCGCAUGGUGGUGUGUGGAAAGGGUUUUACUGGUUUUGAGUGGGCUGACGGCCUAUCAGCUUGUUGGUGGGGUAAUGGCUCACCAAGGCGACGACGGGUAGCAGGCCUGAGAGGGUGACAGGCCACCCUGAGACUGAGACACGGCCGAGACUCCUACGGGAGGCAGAUGUGGGGAAGAUUGCACAAGGGGCGGAAGCCGGAUGCAGCGACUCCGCGGGAGGGAUGACGGCCUUCGGGUUGUAAACCUCUUUCAGCACGGAAGAAGCGAAAGUGACGGUACCUGCAGAAGAAGCGCCGGCUAACUACGUG
Molecule: ribosomal RNA, 472 nt
Filed under: uncultured bacterium
Lineage: Bacteria
Description: partial 16S ribosomal RNA
Rfam family: Bacterial small subunit ribosomal RNA
Source: RNAcentral